AUGAGGGAGAUGGGACGGUCGUAAGGCGGCGAGGUCGGCCGAGGAAAGUAAGGAACCUCGAGGGAAAGAAACUGUUUCACGGCGAAGGUUCCAGCGGAGAAGAUUCCAUUAGCGUCACUGAACAGAUCAGUCAGGACGAGGACGAAGAAGAGGAGCAGCAGCCUCUCGUUCAUUCACUCAAGACUUCCGCUUCUAAGCUUAGAGCUCUAAGAAUCUCUCAGCAGCAGGAAGCAAGAGCUCAGCCUGGAACCUCUUCAUCUGCAGGGAGGAAUGUAUAGCCAUUCCAUAGGAAAGAAACUGGAAGCACAGUUUUCAAAGCAUAUCGAAGUAUGAGACAAAAUAGUUAGCUUUUAAGGCUGUAAAUAUAAUUAAUUACAGUUUGUAAUUUAAAACAACAUCCGUGGCAUUUUGGACUUUUAUUUUCUGUUUUA
Molecule: long non-coding RNA, 431 nt
Organism: Phalaenopsis equestris
Lineage: Eukaryota; Viridiplantae; Streptophyta; Magnoliopsida; Asparagales; Orchidaceae
Exons: 2
Source: RefSeq, a predicted model, not a curated record